GUGUUCCCCCUCGCACACUCCGGCUCCCGUGCGCCGUUCACACCCUCCUGGCGACCGCUCGCUACGUUUUUAACC
RNAcentral lists this small RNA (75 nucleotides) under Xanthomonas vesicatoria. RNAcentral describes it as "sX9". It matches the Rfam family "Xanthomonas sRNA sX9". The record is from RNAcentral. Lineage: Bacteria; Pseudomonadati; Pseudomonadota; Gammaproteobacteria; Lysobacterales; Lysobacteraceae. RNAcentral also lists the same sequence under 1 other name.